UAGACUCCUCGCUACUUGCUCUUGGUUGAACCUAGGAUGAUCUCAGCUUUUGAUCCAUUUGGGCUUGCCUUGAUUUUUGGACCUGACAGCUUUUGGGAUCUAUCUUUGGGACUGAAAAGACCUUACUCUUAGACUGGUUUUCUUUAUCACGACUACUGCUUCGCCUCAACCCUUGGUGUUCGUCCACCUCUCUCCUGCCCCAGUCCACCUGUGUGAGGCAGGCUGUUUGUAGCUUGAAAUUGCUGCAGUGGGAGGAUUUACACCAUGGAAUUUGCAAAUGCUACAAAUCAAGGUCUUCACUGUGCUCCAGCUGCAGUAUCAGUGGAAUUGUGUGAUGUGGAUAUGAUGGAAGGAAAGGCAUUCAACACCAACAUCUUUCCGGAUGCCUGGCAGCACCAGUUACCACUGCAGUGGCUGGGCCUGGGUCCAGAGCUCCCAUUAUUCCUGUUUUGUAGAGGUGGGCCCAGAAAAAUGACAGAAGACACCCAAGCUCCAGCAGCAGAUUUGGUGAAUAUCCUUCAGCCUUCCCAGUUCUGCUUGCAGGUUUCAGUUUCACUCCGAGCUGUGAUUCAUUUCUGUCCCCUUUGUCUCCGUGUCUCUCCUUCCUAGUGACCCAGCCUCCUUUUGGCCUUCAGUGGGGUGAAGAGAAGUGUGAGUUGUGCCUGGUGUCUUCCAUCAGCCCUGAGCCGCCCAGGGCCGAGCUGGGGGACAGAUAGCAGCACACAGAGCUUCAUUUUCCUCAGCUCUUCAGCCACGUCAAACACUUCUUACAAUAAUAGACUCCAAUGUGCGGUUGAUGUCCAGGACAGACAGAGGUCUUGGCAGAAGCUGGGAUUGCUUUCCCAUUUCACUGAGUUUAUAAAAAUGACAUUUUUGAACUUUAAAUCUUAGCAUUCAUGACCCUUAGUAUUUUCCCUCUUUUUGUCACUCGCUUCUUUGAAGAUCAAGUCACCUAUUCCUCCAGCUUAAGACAAUGUUUCAGGUGAUAAGAAAAGACAAAACAUCAGAGACCCCAGAGGUGCCAAUUGUCUACUCCUUUCAUGCUAACAACUUGCAUUUCUACUCAUUGGUUACAGAAAAGUAACUACCUCUUUCUCUCAGCGUGCUGUGGGGGGCUUUGUCUGUGCCAAAGUAGCUAGAUCAGACUUUUUAAUGAGCAAGACUCAAAAAAAGUAAAUUGACUUUUUACAGGGAAACAGGCCAUUCCUCAAAAACUGUUAAAGAUUCUGUCAUCCAGAAUAUCCCUAUCCUGUUGACCUUAUUUACAGAUUUCAUGAAAAAUACAUCAUCGUAACAUUGAUAUAUGGACCCUGUAGCAUCCAAUUUCUU
Molecule: long non-coding RNA, 1329 nt
Filed under: Equus caballus (horse)
Lineage: Eukaryota; Metazoa; Chordata; Mammalia; Perissodactyla; Equidae
Description: lncRNA (ENSECAG00000033514.3)
Source: RNAcentral